This 11252-nucleotide long non-coding RNA is filed under the name Citrus x clementina. RNAcentral's name for it is "Citrus clementina (C. clementina) long non-coding RNA (CCLE_LNC003531)". The record is from RNAcentral. Lineage: Eukaryota; Viridiplantae; Streptophyta; Magnoliopsida; Sapindales; Rutaceae.
GUAUGGUUAGCUUGGUCUUUUUGUUAUGGUUGUAGUUGUACAAUUGUACAACAUCCAUAUUUGUACUUGUUCAUCUACUUACAGUGUGAAGUUUUAAAAUCAGGCAUUUUUCUGUUACAUCUUUUGUGGCUCCUUUUCUUGUAGAGGCUUCAAUGAUGCUGUGAAUGGGUUUUGUUUGUGGGAUAUGCUUCGACGAAGACCAGCAGUGAUGAGCAGACAUCUGGUAGCAUGGUUCCUCGAACAGGUAUAUCUUGUAAGAGUAUAGUAGCCGGGGGAGCGGGAGCAGGAGCAAGAGCAGGAGUGUCCUGCUCGUCCACGAGUACGUCAUCCAUGAGGCCAGUCUCCUGUUGGAAGCAUAAAGUCAUUCCUGCUAUAUUCCUGCUAAAGGUUGAGUUGAGGAAACCCGGUCAACGACAGUUAGCGAGACGUGCUCUCCAGUCCGAGAAUCAAGGCACGAAGGCCACGCAACCACCCACGACUACGGAAAUAGAGCAUCCACUUUCGAGAGGUGGGAGGAUGACGAGCGCAGAGGGAGGAAAGACCUGAGUUCAGAAGUGGCCUAUAAAAAGGUAGCCAACGAAGGUAAAAUGGUUAGAAUUUUUAAUAUUAUAACUAAAAAGAGAAAGCUCUAAAGAACGAGUCCUAGAGAAAAGCCAUAAGAUUAGUGGCUAGUGUUCCCAAGAGCGCAAACAAAACCUUCAUAUCUGACUUGAGCGUCGGAGGGUUUACGCCGGGGAAACAACCGGCGUACUCUGACCUGCUUCUGUGUACGCAGGAACUUAUGGAGAAGAAGCCUUACGAGGAAAGGUCCUGAUCGUGGUAGAGUUGAUCGAGCAGAGAUCCUGGUCGUGUAAGGAGGGUAACCAGAAUCUCGCAUCAACAUUUUAGCGCCGUCUGUGGGGAGCUGAUAAAAAAGUUUCUGUUGAUAGUAAGAAGAGGAGUAAAGCAAGUGGAACAACAAUGGAGGUAGGAGGAAGUAGUGCCCAAGGGGGGUGAUAUGAGGUUUAACGAUCCCGUGACGUUGAGGGAGAUAGCCAGUGAAGCACGGGAAAAAGCCAUGUUUGACCGAAUGGAACGAAUGAAAAAGCAGAUGGAGACCCUGACAACCAUCCUACAUGAGCUGCGGAGUGAACGAAGGGGAACCCAGGAGGAAAGGGUGAGAAAUGGUGGAGUGGCACCAGGUCACGAUAGUACAAGGAGAAGUCAAACCACCAGGAGAUUUGGUGGUAAGAGAGGUAACCUAUCUCUACGGAAAGAAAUUCAUAGAGAGGAAGAGCAAUCCCCAGUAAGACAGAUUUUUUAUGAGAAUGAUGGGGUGGCAAAUGCAGAGGAAACAGAGUUCAGGCAACACUUACAUGAUGUAGAGCAAGAGCGGGAUCAAGUUGCAGCACGUGAUCAUGAGGGCAGUUAUUCCAAGAGAUUUUCGCCUCUUAGACCUUAGAUAUUCGGGACGAACUGACCCGCUAGUGCACAUAGAGCGCUUCAACGACAUAACCGGAGUACAAGGAUUAUCUCAAGCCCAAAGGUGCAGGGUGUUCCCACUAUCCCUAUAGGGAUGUGCACGCGAGUGGUACAGGAAACUUCCUCGGGGGAGCAUUAAAACCUUCGAGCAUAUGUGCCAAGAAUUUGCAGAGCAGUUUCGUGGGGCAAUGGCACCAGAAGAUGACAUGAUGGAGUUGAAAAGCAUGAAGCAGGGGGAGCAAGAAACCCUUCGGGAAUUCAUCAAGAGGUUUCAUCGUGCUGUCCUCGAUUUGGGAGCCUUCAACCAUCCUCAGGCAUUAAGGGGAUUGAAAGAAGGAGUGAAGAUAGGAAGGCUGUGGUAUAACUUGAGAAGCCCAGUUAUUCAGACGUAUGCAGCCGCAUACGAGCAGGCUAAGAGGGACAUAGAGAUUGAGGAAGAAAAGGCAGCACGGAUUAAGACUGACCAGCUAGAAGGGUUGGGAAAGAAAGAGAAGAGAGCAUUACCAGGGAAUGAGCCGAUCAGGAGGAGGGACCACCAGGCCUCCGGUAGCGGUGCAGGAGGUCGGGUAACUACUUACCAACCUCAUCAGAGGCUACCACAGUAUCAGCGCCGCAGGGCGCAACCUCCUCGUUCACCAGGUAAGGAGCCUUGAAGAAGGCAUAACUCGGCAUAUGGUGGUCUUCAUCCACACUCCCACGGUAGUAGAGGGAGCAGACCAGAAACGCUGCCACCGCCUCCAACUAAGAAUGGCGCAAAUAGAGAAAAGGCAGUGCACAUGAUCGACCAGAACCAGGACUAUGGGCGGUAUACUUCCUUGAAAAUGCCCCUAGACGAGGUGUACGACGCCAUAAAGGACCGGGGACUACUGUACCUCCCUGCCCUAAUCACAAAUCUACCCAGCAGGAUGGAUAAGGGACGCUAUUGUAAGUUCCAUGGCACUCAUGGCCAUACCACUGCAGAAUGCAAAGAUCUCAAGAUCCAGGUCGAAGAUUUGGUGAGAAAUCGGUACCUGGACGAGUUUAUAGACGGGACUUUCCCGAUGGUGGCCUCGACAAGUGAAGGGGAGCAGAGUGACAGAAACUUGAGGUGUGAGCAGUCUGCAGUAAGGGUGAUAACUGGAGGCCCAACAUUGGCUGGAGAUUCCAACAGAUCAAGGAAGAAUUAUGCUAGAUACGCCAUGACUAGUAAAGAGGUAUUCUUCAACACCCCAGCAGCCAAACGAGUAAGAGUUAGGCAAGUGCCAAUCAUGUGGACAGAUGAGGAUAAAGAAAGGAUUCUUUACCCCCACGAGGAUGCUUUAGUUAUCAAGGUCAUUGUUGCUAGCAAGAAAUUCGACCGGAUACUGGUUGACACAGGGAGCUCAGUUGAUGUGUUGUUUAAGUCAACUCUGGGGGAGAUGGGAAUAGCAGACCUGAAGUUGAAGUACACCAAUACCUCCUUGAAGGGAUUUGGAGGAGGAAAGCUGGUCCCUCUGAGAGUGGUUGAGCUGCCUAUCACGAUUGGGAGUUCCCCGACAAAAAAGACUAUGAUACUGGACUUUGUGGUGGUGGAUGAAGAAGGUCCUUACUAGAUGAUCUUAGGUCGGCCAUUUCUGAGGAUGAGCAAGGAGGUAUUAUCCAACCAUUAUCUCGCUCUCAAGUACAGGGUGAAUGAGGUAGUUGGAGUGGUACGAGGAGACCAGAGAAUCGCACGAAGCUGUUACUCCUCGGCAGUAAGGGAAGCAAUGCAGAUAACGUCCCUUGAUACCAGAGUAGAAAACAGGAAUGACAGACAAGAACCUGUAGAGGAGCUGGAGACAGUAAGCAUGGAACCAGAGAAUCCGGGAAAAACGAUCAGAAUCGGGUCGAGACUUAAGAAAGAGCAGAAGCAGGAGUUGGUGCAAUGCUUACAGGCUCAUGCAGAUGUGUUUGCUUGGGCACAUGAAGACAUGCCAGGGAUUGAUCCUGAGGUAAUAUGUCAUAAGCUGGCAAUAAAGAAAGGUGCUCGGGCAGUAAGGCAGAAAAGGAGGUGCUUCAACCAUGAGAGGUAUGAGGCUAUAAAUUGCGAGGUGGAAAAACUCUUGAGAGCAGGGUUCAUUCGGGAAGUCAAUUAUCCUGAGUGGAUAUCGAAUGUGGUGUUGGUGAAGAAAGCAAAUGGCAAGUGGAGGAUGUAUGUAGAUUUCACAAAUCUCAACAAGGCGUGCCCGAAAGACAGCUUUCCUUUACCAAAGAUCGACCAGCUAGAAGAUUCAACAGCUGGACAUGGCCUGCUUAACUUCAUGGACGCGUUUUCGAGAUACAACCAAAUCCCCAUGUACGAGCAGGAUGAGGAAAGCACGACUUUUAUUACUAACCAGGGUUUGUUCUGUUACAGGGUAAUGUCAUUUGGUCUUAAAAAUGCUGGGGCCACGUACCAGAGGCUGGUGAAUAAAGUCUUUAAGCCAUUGAUUGGGAGAACCAUGGAGGUGUACGUGGACGACAUGAUAACCAAGUCGAAAAUCCCGAAGGAACAUGUCGGACACCUCGAGGAGACAUUCGAGCUUUUGAGGAAGUAUAAGAUGAAGCUCAACCCGAAAAAGUGUGCUUUUGGGGUCGAGUCAGGGAAAUUCCUUGGAUUCAUGGUGAGUCAUAGGGGGAUCGAAGUAAAUCCCGAGAAAAUCCAGGCAAUCGUGCAGAUGAGGUCUCCUCGUAGCCUGAAGGAGAUGUAAAGCCUUACGGGGAGGUUGGCGGCAUUGAGCUGAUUCAUAUCCAAGGCUACAGAUAAGUGUCAGCCAUUUUUUCAAGUGAUAAGGAGGGGAAAGAAAACAGAAUGGACCCCAGAAUGCGAAGAAGCCUUCCAAAACUUGAAGCAGUACUUGCAGCAAGCACCUCUGCUAUCCACACCGAGGGAUGGGGACAAGUUAUUUUUAUAUUUGGCGGCAUCAGAUUGGGCCACAAGUUCUGUUCUAGUGAGAGAGGAAGAAGGAAUUCAGUACCCGAUAUACUACACCAGCAAGGCCCUGCUCGACGCUGAGACCAGAUACCCACCGUUGGAGAAAUGGGCACUUGCCCUUGUGGUUGUUGCUCGGAAGCUGAGGCCAUACUUUCAAGCAUUCCUAGUCUCGGUAAUAACAAACCAACCAUUGCGUCAAACUCUACACAAGCCAGAUGCUUCUGGUUGGCUCGUCAAGUGGGCUAUAGAGCUGAGCGAGUUCGACAUUGAUUACAAACCCCGAGCAGCGAUAAAGGCGCAAGCAAUGGCCGAUUUCGUAGCAGAGUUCACAGAGCCUGAAAUAUGUUUGGACCAGCUGGAUAUUGCCACAGACAGCAAUGAAGCCUGAGUAUGGUAGAUGUCUGUAGAUGGGUCAUCAGGGGAGCAUGGAUCAGGAGCAGGAAUUGUCUUGGAAGACCCAAAGGGGGAUGAGAUCUCUUAUGCUGUAAAGUUAGAAUUCGCAGCCACAAAUAACCAGGCAGAGUACGAAGCCUUGAUAGCAGGUCUGAAAUUGGCUAAGGCCGUGAAAGCAGAUAGAGUGAAGAUCAGAACUGAUUCCCAGCUGGUUGCGAAUCACGUCAGUGAAAGAUUUCAACCGAGAGAGGAGAAGAUGGAGCAGUACCUGAAGAUAGUCAGGUAGAUGAUGGGGAAAUUUGAAGCGGUAGAGGUGAUACAAAUCCCCAGGGAGCAGAAUAGUCAAGCAGAUAUUUUGGUCAGAAUGGCAGCGGUAGCAGACCCAAAAAUGCCAAAGUCGAUCCCUCUAAAGGUGAAGUCCAGCCCGAGUAUCGAGUAGAAUUUGGAGGUGCUGCGUAUAGAACAAAAAUGCUCAUGGAUGGAUCCGAUAAUUUCAUACCUUAGAGAUGGGGUAUUACCACCAGAUAAGCUACGAGCUCGGAAGAUCAGAGCCCAAACCUCGAGGUACACCAUGAUUGAUGGGGUACUAUAUCGGCGAGGGUAUACGCUACCUUUCCUUCGGUGUUUGGAAGAGGACGACGCGGACUACGUACUGAGAGAAGUACAUGAAGGAAUUUGCGGAAACCAUUCUGGUAGGAGGUCACUAGCCCACAAGGUUCGAAGGUAUGGAUAUUUCUGGCCGACAAUGCACCAGGAUGCGCAAGAGAAGACCAGGAGCUUUGUAAGGUGCCAGAGUUUUGCGAGUUUCUCCAACCAACCACCAGAAAAGCUCACCUCUAUGGCCUCCCCUUGGCCAUUUGCUCAAUGGGAAAUUGAUCUGAUCGGCCCGUUGCCAAAGGGAUGAGGAGCAGCAACACAUGCAAUAGUUGCGAUAGAUUACUUCACGAAGUGGAUAGAGGUAGAAGCCCUUAGCAGAAUAACAGAGAAGAAAACAACAGACUUUGUGUGGAGAAACCUAGUCUGUCGGUACGGGAUCCCUUAUGCCUUGGUAACGGAUAACGGCAGGCAGUUCGAUAAUCACAGCUUCAAGAAUUUCUGCCAGAACCUCGGGAUAGAGUUGAAGUAUUGCUCGCCUGCUCACCCUCAAUCUAAUGGACAAGUAGAAGCAGCCAACAAGACGAUCAAGAGGCUUCUGAAAACCAGGCUUGGAGAAAAAAAUGGUGCAUAGGUUGAAGAGCUAUCAGGUGUUUUAUGGGCAUACAGGACAACCCACAAAACAGCAACUGGAGAAACACCAUUCGCCUUGGCCUUCGGACAUGAAGCGGUCGUACCAGCCGAAAUAGGAACGACCACGCACCGGACAUAUCAUUUCGAUGAGCAGGAGAACAACGAGCAGAUGUGCCUGAAUCUGGAUUUGCUAACCGAGAAGAGGGACCAGACAUCGAAGCGAUCAACCAUUUACCAGCAGAGGGUAGCUCGGUAUUAUAACCAGAAGGUAAAUGUACGGUAGUUCAGGGUCGGAGAUUGGGUGCUGAGGAGAGUGAAUCAGAACACUAAAGACCCGACCCAAUGAGCGCUUGGACCAAAUUGGGAGGGGCCAUAUAGAGUCAAGCAGAUGGUGGGACCCGGAGCGUACAAGCUGGUUCGCACGGACGGCCACGAGGUGAAACGCCCAUGGAACGCAGCACACCUCAGGAAAUAUUUCCAGUAAGACUUGUUCAUAUUUUAAAGUUAUUUCUGUUCGUGCUCGUUGUCUUUUAUUUUUUAAGUCAAAGUAAUCUCAUGUAAGCCGAAUUAAGCAACAAAUGAAUUAAUGAGGAAUUUCAGUCAACUGUACUGUUGAAAAAAUUUUGAAGGCAUGUCUAUGGCGAGACCAGAAGCCAAGCGUGCAAGGAUCUGCUCGACCACGCGAAGACGAGCAGAAUCCCCAAGCAUCGAAAUGUUUUCUAAGGCACGAAAAGGCUCACCAAGUCUUAAAGCCUGUCUAUGGCGAGACCAGAAGCCAAGCGUGCCAGGAUCUGCUCGACCACGUGAAGGCGAGCAUAAUCCCCAAGCAUCGAAAUAUUUUCUAAGGCACGCAAAGACUCACCAAGUCUCAAAGCAUGUCUUUGGCGAGACCAGAAGCCAAGCGUGCCAGGAUCUGCUCGACCACGCGAAGGCGAGCAGAAUCCCCAAGCAUCAAAAUAUUUUCUAAGGCACGCAAAGGCUCACCAAGUCUCAAAGCCUGUCUAUGGCGAGACUAGAAGCCGAGCGUGCCAGGAUCUGCUCGACCACGCGAAGGCGAGCAGAAUCCCCAAGCAUCGAAAUAUUUUCUAAGGCACGCAAAGACUCACCAAGUCUCAAAGCAUGUCUAUGAUCCCCAAGCAUCGAAAUAUUUUCUAAGGCACGCAAAGACUCACCAAGUCUCAAAGCAUGUCUAUGGCGAUACCAGAAGCCAAGCGUGCCAGGAUCUGCUCGACCACGCGAAGGCGAGCAGAAUCCCCAAGCAUCGAAAUAUUUUCUAAGGCACGCAAAGGCUCACCAAGUCUCAAAACCUGUCUAUGGCGAGACCAGAAGCCAAGCGUGCCAGGAUCUGCUCGACCACGCGAAGGCGAGCAGAAUCCCCAAGCAUCGAAAUAUUUUCUAAGGCACGCAAAGGCUCACCAAGUCUCAAAGCCUGUUUAUGGCGAGACCAGAAGCCAAGCGUGCCAGGAUCUGCUCGACCACGCGAAGGCGAGCAGAAUCCCCAAGCAUCGAAAUAUUUUCUAAGGCACACAAAGACUCACCAAGUCUCAAAGCCUGUCUAUGGCGAGACCAUAAGCCAAGCGUGCCAGGAUCUGCUCGACCAUGUGAAGGCGAGCAGAAUCCCCAAGCAUCAAAAUGUUUUCUAAGGCAUGCAAAGGCUCACCAAGUCUUAAAGCCUGCUUAUGGCGAGACCAGAAGCAAGCGUACCAGGAUCUGCUCGACCGAGCGAAGGCGAGCAGAAUCCCAAGACAUGCAAAAAACUAAGUCUGAAAGCCAGUCAUGUGGCAAGACCACAUGCCAAGCCAGAGCCUGCUCGACCAAGCGAAGGCGAGCAGACUCUCAAACGAAAAAAUAACCCGUAAAUACAACACAAGAAAGUAAUUAAAAACAUUUUUAUUAAUUUGUUAAUAACUAACAAAGCUGGUAAUCUUCACACACAUUGUUCAUUACAAUAAAAGAAACAUGUUCAAGAAGACGGCGGGUCAGUAAGCCGAGUAGCAUCAGUUGUCUGGACCACCUCAGGUACAGGGGGCAUCACCAGUUGAGUCCGAGGGGGUGCUCGCCUCACCAACAUCAGCAGGAAUUGCACGAGGAGGAGAGUUUUCCUCCUCAACCACGAUUGGCUCCACCCAUUCAACAUCUUCCUUUGCCGCAUCCUCGUCCAUGUGUUGAGCAACACUAGCUGCAAGGUCAUCCAUCUUUAGAUCAAGAUGUUGUUUCCCAAGAACGGCCAUGAUGCAACGAUAGGAAUACCGAAGUCCCUGGUCGUACUGGUUGUCGGCUUUCUUCUCCAAGUUCUCGACCUGAACUCGAUGGGAAUCGCGAAGAGAUUCGAGCUGAGCCUCGUACAUAACCUUCUGCCUUUGCAGCUCCUUCUCGAGAGUAAUGGCCUUUGCUUGAGCAAGAGAUUCUUGCUCUAUCAGCUUUAGAUUCUCGAGAUUCAAGUCUCCUGCUUUUUUUUCGGCGGCAUCGGCUCUGGUCAUUGCCGAUUGAAUGUCCUCCUUCAUCUUCCGGUCGUAACGGUCAACCUUGGCCUUAUAGUAAGUGGUCAUGCAGCUGAGGUGGAAAGUGCUAUACUGCAUGGCCCCCACCAGCUCGCCCAAGGUGCAGCCAUCAAAAUCCUCCAGGUCCUUCUUGCUCACGAGUUUAGAUAGCUCGUUGAGAUAAGUGACCAAGUGCUCUGCUCGGUUGUCAGAUAAACGAGAUCGAGACCUGACCGGAGGAGAAGAGGAAGCGGGAUCAGUGGCUGCUCCACUAGUUUCUUUGACUUUGGCAGGAAGAGGAGGUAGAGUCUUCAAGGGAGGAACCUCAUGCACAAUGUUCACCCGCUUCGCAGUGGGAGCGUCCUUGUUCUGGUCCCUCUUUGCAGUUUGAGGUCGAUGACGUUUCCGAGUCAAAGCCCCAAUCACAGCAUCCUCCAUCUUAUGGCCGGGGGGCACCAAACAAGACUCGAGCAGGUUAUAAGUAGUUAUUAGCUCUCGGCUCGAGCAGAAGUUGGCCAGUACAGCCUCGACCCGUUUGAGCUGGUUAGGUUUGAGUGGGAAGUGAACACCCCAAGAACCUACAAUACAAACAGACAUUUGGUUAGAGACAAACCAGUAAAGUGAGAACAACUAGAGAGACCAAACAUUUGAAACGAGCAGGUAACCUGGGACCAUAAAACAAGGUGGGACGCGAAAAUCUUCCCAUCAACCUGUGCAACUUGACCCCAGGGACCCCCAGCGAAAAAGAACUUCUUCUUUCAAUUCCCACCACCACCAGUAGGAAGGUCGGUUAUGGGUUUCCUGGUCUUAGUACUUGAUUGGAAGUAAUACCAGCCGAUAUCUUUGGGGCUGCUUUUCAGCUGGUACAGGUGCUUCACCUCGUCAACCGUGGGCUCGCUUUGGCAACAUCUGUCCCACAAUAUGAACAGACCAGAGAGCACUCUCCACCCAUUGGGGUUCAGCUGACCAAGAGAGAGAUUUAGCCCGUUAAGUAUCCGGGCAAAGUAGGGUUGCAAAGGGCACCUCAUCCCAUUCUUAAAACUCUACAGGAAUAGGGUAACAUAUCCCCUAGGAGGUCGGCUAGGAGUAUCCUUCUUUUCUGGGACUUUUAGAAGUAUUUCACUAGGAAUACUAUACCUAAGCCGGAGGUCAUCGAGCUCGUCAAACGUGGUCGUGCACGUCAUGUAAUCAAUGGCAUAAUCCCGUGAUAGGGCUCUACCUCCUACUGUACUCCGCUCUUCUGGUCGUGAUGUUCUUGAUGGGGAUACCUCACCAGAAUCACCUCAUCCAUCCUCACUCAGGGUGUUUUCCGAGCCGGAAGAUCCCUGCUCACCGCUAUUUCCGCUCGAGGAGGUUAUUUGAGGGGACAUCCUCCUAGCGCUAGUACCAACACUAGAUCUAAUGGGUUCUAAGGGGAUCCCAGGGUUAAAAGCAGGAUCGGUGAGCAGACUAGGCAAGAAGUCUAACUUAUUGUCAUCAACCUCAAUGAUUUUCUCUUUACCCUUUGACAUUCUCUAAGCUAUAACUAGAGCAACACCACCAAAUACUACCUAAGCAAAACAGAAAGAAAUGAUAUUAUCUAUAACUAUCCGAGACCGAGGAGAUAGAAGUAAUACCUGAAGAAAUGACUUAGUCGGGGAGAGACAAGGAUAGAGGCUUUUGUUCCGGAGCUUCUUUACCGGAGAGACAGAGACAAAGAUGGAGUAAAUGACGAAUUUCUCUUUUGAAAGGAUCUCGGGUUUCCUAAUGAAGUACAAACUCUUGGGCUGCCAGCAUUUAACGGCACAAAUCCCAAGAGUCACGUAGCCGUCGGUUUGAUAUUCAAACAGAGGGGGAGAUUUCUGCCACAUCACCUCGUCCGCAAUUAAAUGCGACACGACUCUUGGCAGCCUUUUCCUAUCCCGCGCGAGCAAGAACUGUUGAGUUUCUAUUGUCGGCUCACUACGUUGCCCAACACCAGAAACUGGGGGACCGGUGUUUGUGGGAUAUGCUUCGAUGAAGACCAGCAGUGAUGAGCAGACAUCUGGUAGCAGGGUUCCUCGAACAGGUAUAUCUUGUAAGAGUCUGGUAGCCGGGGAAGCAGAAGCAGGAAUGUCCUGCUCGUCCACGAGUACGUCAUCCACGAGGCCAGUCUCCUGUUGGAAGCGUAAAGCCAUUCCUGCUAUAUUCCUGCUAAAGGUUGAGUCGAGGAGACCCGGUCAACGACAGUUGGCGAGACGUGCUCUCCAGUCCGAGAAUCAAGGCACGAAGGCCACGCAACCACCCGUGACUACGGAAAUGGAGCAUCCACUUUCGAGAGGUGGGAGGAUGACGAGCGCAGAGGGAGGAAAGGCCUGAGUUCAGAAGUGGCCUAUAAAAAGGUAGCCAACGAAGGUAAAAUGGUUCGAAUUUUUGAUAUUAUAACUAAGAAGAGAAAGGUCUAAAGAACGGGUCCUAGAGAAAAGCCAUGAGAUUAGUGGCUAGUGUUCCCAAGAGCGCAAAAAAAACCUUCAUAUCUGACUUGAGCGUCGGAGGAUUUACGCCGGGGAAACAACCGGCGUACUCUGACCUACUUCUGUGUACGCAGGAACUUCUGAAAAAGAAGUCUUACGAGGAGAGGUCCUGAUCGUAGUAGAGUUGAUCGAGCAGAGAUCCUGGUCGUGUAAGGAGGGUAACCAGAAUCUCGCAUCAACGGGUUUAAUAAUGAUGGUUGGUUGUUGACGACCUCUUAUGGUGAUGAAGAUGUGAUAAUUGCAGUUAAUUCAACUAAGAGUUUGAGCACUGCAUCUAAUCCUUAUAAU